CUACGGGAGGCAGCAGUGGGGAAUAUUGGACAAUGGGGGCAACCCUGAUCCAGCCAUGCCGCGUGAGUGAAGAAGGCCUUAGGGUUGUAAAGCUCUUUUGGCGGGGACGAUAAUGACGGUACCCGCAGAAUAAGCCCCGGCUAACUUCGUGCCAGCAGCCGCGGUAAUACGAAGGGGGCUAGCGUUGUUCGGAAUCACUGGGCGUAAAGCGCACGCAGGCGGAUUGAUAAGUCAGGGGUGAAAUCCCGGAGCUCAACUUCGGAAUUGCCUUUGAUACUGUCUGUCUUCGAGUUCGGGAGAGGUUGGCGGAAUUCCUAGUGUAGAGGUGAAAUUCGUAGAUAUUAGGAAGAACACCAGUGGCGAAGGCGGCCAACUGGCCCGAUACUGACGCUCAUGUGCGAAAGCGUGGGGAGCAAACAGGAUUAGAUACCCCGGUAGA
Molecule: ribosomal RNA, 439 nt
Filed under: uncultured bacterium
Lineage: Bacteria
Description: bacterial SSU rRNA
Rfam family: Bacterial small subunit ribosomal RNA
Source: RNAcentral